This 4413-nucleotide long non-coding RNA is filed under the name Arachis ipaensis. Its description in RNAcentral is "long non-coding RNA (AIPA_LNC001818)". The record is from RNAcentral. Lineage: Eukaryota; Viridiplantae; Streptophyta; Magnoliopsida; Fabales; Fabaceae.
UCCUCGCAUAUCAAAACGGCGGGGGUGUUUGGCCUUGGCAAUGGCAAGACAAGCAUUUUGUCUCAGCUUUCUUCUCUGGGCUACAUUCACAAUGUCUUUGGCCAUUGCUUGAGUUCCAAAGGAGGAGGUCGUUUAUUCCUUGGUGAUGAUAUUAAAACCUCCAAGACUCUUGUUUGGACACCUAUCUUGCGCAGUUCCUCCUCCUCCAAUAUGUAAGGGUCACUGGGUCACUCACUCUAUUUUAAAAUAACUGUCGUAUUAACUAAAUGUUGUUAACUUGUUAUUCAAAAAUACUAUUUUUUUCGCUAAAAUUUGUUACUAAAAUCAAUUAUCAUGUCUAUUUGUGUAUAAAUAUAUGUUAUUUAAUUCAUUUUUUUAUGUUAAUUUUAUAUUCUAUUAUAUAUUUUAUACUAAUAGUUAAUUUUAGUGGCUCAUAUACCUAGCAGUUAGUUAUUAUUAGAACAUUUUUAAAUAAUAAAAAUUUUAUUUGCAUAUUAAAAUCAGUUGUCAAAUUCAGUCAUCAAAUAUGUAUACGAAAAUAUUUGGUAACUAAAAAAAAUUAGUCAAAAACAACCAUAACUUGCUUUAUUUAACUAAAUUGUUACGAUAAUUAAUGAAUGCUAAAUAAGGUAAGUUCUGGUUUUUUUUUUUUGUCUCCCUAACAUUACCGGUGUGUAUAAAUAUUGAUAGUUAAUUAUAGCGACUGAUUAAAUAAAAUUAUUCCUCGAUUUAGAUUAUUUAAAUGAGGAGUGUUAGGGGUCAGCAAGUUUUGUGAUUUGUAGUCAUUAAUUAGCCAUCAUUAGUGUUUUUAAUGGUGUGAAAUUAUAUUCAAUAAUAUAAGAUUACUCAAUUCUUUUUUGAUAAUUAAGUAUAAAUUUUAAUAAAAGUGUUGACCCGUAUUCGAACCACCCUGGUUCGAAUUACGUGUAUCAUGGUUCGAACCAGGUUAGUUCGAAUUAGUAGGAGUCAGAGCUCUAUAUAAACGCUGUAAACGUGAUUUGCUCUCAUUAGAGGACGUAAGAUGGCUAGUGAGGAGGAGAGUUUUGCUGUUUUGGUACACCACAGAGGGUCCAUCAAGAGGAAAACUCGGUCCGGAGUGAAGUUCACAGAUAAGAAUCCUCUCUAUAUUGUGGUGAAUCGAACGACAAGCUAUGAUGACCUGGUUAGAGCUGUGCUGAUGAAACUUGGCCUGGAAGGUGCGAAGCGGAUUAAGAAGUUUUUCUAUCGCAUUCCAGUCACGAUCCUGCACGAUACGGUGAAGUAUGAUUGUCUCACGAUUGGUAGUGAUGAGGACCUCCAAGUCAUGUUUCUUUGUCGGAGGCAGUUUCCGGAGGUCCGCACACCAGAGUUGCUGGCAAAGCUGGUUGAUGUGGUAUCCAGCUCAGGGGGUUCGAACCGGAAUACCGCCAAUGUAGCCACUGCAGCUGGCUCCAGUUCGAUGGCUGCUGUGGCUUCUUCCUCCGUCCCAGUUUACGAGCCAGCGGCCCAACUUGUCGCCUCUCCGUCCUUUGCUGUUGAUUUGAAUGACGGCGUCCGCGACGAGGUAGGAUCCUUUGAUGUUAUGGCAAACGCUUUACAUGGCGUUCCACCGGUUGGCGUCGGAGACGGAGAAUUGGGUGAUCCUGAUGAGGACGACGUUGAGCCCGAAACGAUUGAGGAAGAUAGCGGGGACGAGCUUGUAGCGGCUGGGCCUGCAUUGGCUGGCGGUGGUUCUAGCUCUGGCACACAGCAGUAUCCACCAUAUUUUUCUUCGCUGGACCUGGACGCCAUGACGCAUGAGGGUGCGCUAGGUCACCCUGUUGGAUUCGGAGCUAGAGAUGCGGAAGGGAAUGCUGGUCUCACAGAGUUCCAGGUUGGUCAGCAAUUCCAGGAUAAAGAUGAGGCCCUGUUAAGUGUGAAGACUUACAGCAUCCGGCGAGGGGUACAGUACAAGGUGGUGGAGUCCGAUCACCGCCGGUAUGUGGGCAAGUGUUCCGAGUUCGGGAAUGGGUGCACAUGGUUGAUUCGGCUCAGUCUCCGGAAGCGGAAGGGCAUUUGGGAGGUCAAACGGUACAAUGGCCCUCACACUUGCCUGGCCACAUCCAUAUCAAGUGAUCACAGAAGUUUGGAUCAUUCUGUGAUUUCGGCGUUCAUUAUGCCAAUGGUUAGGGCUGACGCAUCGGUUAGCAUCAAGGUGCUCCUGAACGCCACGGCAGCGCAUUUUGGUUUUAGGCCGACUUACAGGAGGGUUUGGAUGGCGAAGCAGAAGGCCGUUGGUCUCAUCUACGGUGACUGGGAUGAGUCAUACAACGAGCUGCCUAGGUGGGUGUUGGGAGUCCAGCUGACGAUGCCUGGUACUGUUGCAGUCCUAAGGACGAGCCCCGUUCGAGUUGGAGGACAGGUAGACGAGUCUCAAGCAUAUUUUCACAGACUUUUCUGGACUUUUCCACCGUGCAUCGAGGCAUUCCGUCAUUGCAAGCCGCUAGUCAGCAUUGACGGCACACAUCUGUAUGGCAAGUACGGGGGAACGUUGCUCAUCGCGAUUGCACAGGACGGGAACUCCAACAUUCUACCUGUUGCAUUCGCAUUAGUAGAGGGUGAGAAUGCAGAGUCCUGGACAUUCUUUCUCUCCCACCUUCGACAGCACGUGACACCACAGCCGGGUCUGCUGGUUAUAUCGGACAGGCAUAACGGCAUCAAGGCUGCGCUUGAGGCUCCUGACGGAGGUUGGUUACCUCCAUCUGCCUACCGUGCAUUCUGCAUUCGACACGUAGUGGCUAAUUUUGCCCUUACCUUCAAGGGCAAAGACGCACAGAGCCAAAUAAUGAGUAAUUCGAACCAGGUUGGUUCGAAUUACUAUUGGAGCCAAAUAUUGAGUAAUUCGAACCAGGGUGGUUCGAAUUACUUGGUUCGCAUUUACAUCGAUAAUUCGAACAAGGCUGGUUCGAAUUAUGAGCAAGUGAAGUUCGAACCACCUUGGUUCGAAUUAUGUUCAACUCUUUCUUGGUAAUUCGAACUGCCCUGGUUCGAUUUAUAGCUAAAUGCAGUUCGAACCAGCCUGGUUCGAAUUACAUUAAAAUACAGUUUGGCUUAUUGCUGAAACGAUUUUCGUUUUGGCUGAUAUACGUAAAUAUGAAGUGAUGUUGGCUUAUUAGCGUUUUUUGUCCAAAUUUUUAUUAGCUCUAAUGAUUUUAUAAUUUAAAUUUUAUUAAAAUUUUACGUUUUAGAUACUUAAUUUAUUUAUUUUUUAUUUUACGUAAAACUUCAAUUUUUCCUGUGCAGCUUCUUUGUAUACUAUAUUGUAAUUGAUUUUUCCUUAAAAUUAAAUGAAUAUUUUGCUUUUUGUAUUGGUACAGAUAUUAUACGGUGAAAGUGGCAAUUGGAAAUCCACCUCAAUUAUACGACCUUGACAUUGACUCUGGUAGUGAUCUCACUUGGGUUCAGUCCAAAUCCUGUAAGACCUGCACACCUGUAAGCAAUGCAAUACAACAAUCAAUCGUAAAUUAAUUAAUUUAAUUUUAUACUUUUAUCAUUCAUUUUUACCCUAACAAUUUAGGAUGACAAAAAAAACAGUCAGAACUUGUCUUAUUUAUCAUUUAUUAAUUGUUGCAACCAUUAAUAAAUACUAAAUAAAACAAAUUAUGACUAUUUUUGGCUGAUUUUCUUUGGUUACUAACAUUUCCGCCUUAAUUAUAUAUUCUCCUUAAUUUUUGUGUCUUUAUGACUUGCAGCGUUCACAAUAUUAUCCGUAUAACCCCAACAGUAACAUCCAAUGCAAAGAACCCCUGUGUGCUGCGCUAAAUAGAAACUGCGCUCCACCAACUGGGCCAUGUAAAUAUAAAAUCGAGUAUGCAGACAAUGAAUUUUGUUCAGGGGUGCUUGUUAGGGACUUUAUUUCCUUUAGAUUAGACGAUGGCUCUAUUCUACAUCCUCAACUUGGCUUCGGGUGAGUGCUUACCAAGCUAAGUUAAUUACCUUCAUCUGUUUUUUCAAUCAAGUAUGUUAUCUGUACACCAAAAUCAGUCCUUAAGAUUAAUUAUUAGUAUAAAAUAUACAUUAAAAUAUAAAUAUAUAUUAAAAAUAAGUUAAAUUAUAUAUGUAUUUAUAUACAAAUACACUAGUGACUAAUUUUAAUAGCUGAUUUUAGUGUAUAAAUAGUAUUUUUUAUUUUAUAACUUUUGUAUAUAUGGUAGGAGUGGAUUUGAUCAAACACCUUCUAAUCAUCAUCAUUCCUCGCAUAUCAAAACGGCGGGGGUGUUUGGCCUUGGCAAUGGCAAGACAAGCAUUUUGUCUCAGCUUUCUUCUCUGGGCUACAUUCACAAUGUCUUUGGCCAUUGCUUGAGUUCCAAAGGAGGAGGUCGUUUAUUCCUUGGUGAUGAUAUUAAAACCUCCAAGACUCUUGUUUGGACACCUAUCUUGCGCAGUUCCUCCUCC